Molecule: ribosomal RNA, 120 nt
Filed under: uncultured bacterium
Lineage: Bacteria
Description: partial 16S ribosomal RNA
Rfam family: Bacterial small subunit ribosomal RNA
Source: RNAcentral
CACGCUGUAAACUAUGGAUGCUAGGUGUUUGGUAUGACUACUUUCUAUCUUCGGAUUCUAGGUGGAAGUACUGAGUGCCGCAGCUAACGCGUUAAGCAUCCCGCCUGGGAAGUACGGCCG